RNAcentral lists this ribosomal RNA (2391 nucleotides) under Triticum aestivum (bread wheat). Its description in RNAcentral is "partial small subunit ribosomal RNA". The record is from RNAcentral. Lineage: Eukaryota; Viridiplantae; Streptophyta; Magnoliopsida; Poales; Poaceae.
AUGCAUGAUUUGUUGCAGCUUCGACAGACAGGCACAGUCGCAGAGUACAGGCAGCAAUUUGAGGUGCACAUGUACAACAUGAUCGCACUCGACGCCACAUUGAGCUCCAAAUUUUUUGUCACCCAAUUUUUGCUCGGCCUCAAAGAUGAAUUGCGAGCCGCGGUGCGCAUCCAAGCACCGACCAGCAUUACCAGAGCCACCGUAUUUGCACGCAUACAGGAGGAGGAAUUGGACAUUCAGCGCCCUCGCCUACGACCCGCUUCUGCAGGACAGCCACCGCCACUGCCUAGCGUGCCACCGGCGUUGGGACGUCCUCCCCCAACACCAUCAGUGCCACCUGCCACUUUAGUACCCCGCAUCGUUCCGGCACCUAAGCAAGCCCCGGACGACUUCGGGCGCGAGCGGCAGCUGCGAGACUACAGACGCCAGCAUGGCCUCUGUUUUCGUUGUGGCGACAAAUACUCCAGGGACCAUCAAUGCAAACGCUCAGCGCAGUUGCUCACAAUAGAGGUGGGUGAUCAUGGGGAAGUGCUAUCUGACGAAGCCGUGCACGCGCUGCAGUUACUUGAUGAGCCAGACGGGGCUGCAGAUCCCGCGUGCUGCCUUCUUUCUGCACACGCGGUGGAAGGCACGGAAACAGCGGAAACCAUUCGCCUGCGAGCAACUGUGGGUAACCAGACGAUGCUGCUGUUGGUGGACUCGGGGAGCACGCACAGUUUUGUCAAUUCAACAUUUGCUGUCAGAAUUGGAGCAACAACAACAACACCCAUUCCUUCCAUUGCUGUACGGGUAGCCAAUGGCCAGCGACUGAACUGCACAGCCAUGGUACCGCAGCUCCAGUGGUGCAGCCAGGAACACACAUUCAGCACAGAUAUGCGUGUGCUGGACUUGGGCGUCUAUGAUGCAGUUCUCGGCGUCGACUGGCUAGCGCAACAUAGCCCCAUGAAGUGUGAUUGGCAGUUGAAAACAAUGCAAUUCGAGCGUGAUGGGACAGCAGUACACCUACAGGGAGUUAGAUCGGAUGAAUCGCCAACCCUUACUGCUUUGGAUGCUGCUUCUCUUUGGCAAAUGCAUGAUGCAAAUGAGAUUUGGGGGGCUGCUUUAAUAGAACUCCAAAUGGCGCCAAUACCAGAUUCAGCAACAGCUCAACCACCACCAGUUGUGAUCCAACGCAUUCUAACGGAGUUCAGUGAUGUCUUUGCUGAACCUACAGGAUUACCUCCCCGCCGUCAAUACGACCAUGCUAUCACUCUAGAACCGGGGGCCACACCAAUCAACUGUCGCCCGUACCGUUAUUCUCCGUUGCAGAAAGACGAGAUAGAGCGUCAGGUUACGGAAAUGCUGCGGACAGGGAUCAUUACUCAUAGUAUGAGUCCCUACGCCGCUCCUGUACUCCUGGUGAAAAAGAAGGAUGGAACCUGGCGCUUCUGCGUAGAUUACAGACGCCUGAACAUGGUGACCAUCAAAAACAGAUUUCCCCUUCCCGUCAUCGACGAGCUACUGGAUGAACUUGCUGGCGCCGCCUUCUUUUCCAAGAUCGAUCUGCGAGCUGGAUACCAUCAGAUCCGUAUGAAAAAAGGCGACGAGGAGAAAACUGCAUUCAAAACGCAUCACGGCCACUUUGAGUUCCGUGUCAUGCCAUUUGGGGUCACCAACGGACCACCCACAUUCCAAUGUGUCAUAAACUCGGUGUUCUCCGGACCAAAUCGUAAGUUCGUCAUUACUUUUCUCGAUGACAUCUUGGUGUUCAGCCGUUCUCUGCAGGAGCAUGUUGAUCAUCUGCGCACCGUCUUCUCCAUUCUGCGACAACAUCAACUGUAUGCCAAACAAUCCAAGUGCUCCUUUGCACAUCCCAGCAUUGAAUACCUCGGGCAUGUUAUUUCCAGGGAGGGCGUGGCAACUGAUAAGAGCAAGACUAGUGCCAUGUCUGCGUGGCCGACACCGACAAAUGCCACUGAACUCCGGGGUUUUCUGGGUUUGACAGGCUAUUACCGCAAGUUUGUGAAGAACUAUGGGAUUCUCGCCAAGCCAUUGACUCAAUUGCUCACUAAGAAAGGAUUCAGUUGGAUAGAUCAAGCUCAAGCGGCGUUCGACCUCCUCAAACAAGCAAUGGUGAACACCCCAGUGCUAUCUCUGCCUGAUUUCAACCGCCCGUUCUCCAUCGAGACGGACGCGUGUGAUACGGGUGUGGGCGCUGUCCUAGUACAAGAAGGCCACCCUGUCGCCUACUUAAGCAAGGCUCUGGGCACACGCAAUCAACGCCGUUCCAUUUACGAGAAAGAAUUCCUUGCGGUGAUCAUGGCGAUAGACAGGUGGCGCGCCUACCUACAAUGGGCACCAUUCGUCAUCGUCACGGAUCAUAAGAGCUUGUGCAGCUUGGGGGAGCAAUAG